CCCUGGGGGGAUGCAGACAAGGCCUGAGGGAUGGGCUCUGCCCAGGUUUGUUGUGAGGCCUCCCCAGGGUCGCUGAUCUCCCCUUGCUGUCUCUGCCCAGGUGUUGGAGGUCCAGCAGCAGCAGCCAAAGCAGCAGCCAAGGCAGCCAAAUUUGGUGAGUCAGCCCGGGUCUCAGUCUCCCUGCCAGCCCUGGAGAGGCAUUGAGCGGUGCAGGGGAUGGGCACCCGGGCCUGGCACAUCAUCCCACACGAGCAGGGGAUCACACCUGCUGCCUCACCCCUCUCUCUGCAGGUGCUGGGGUUGGAGGGGUGCCCGGUGUGGGCGGAGUGCCCGGAGUGACCCCCGGCGUUGGUGGCGUGCCCGGCUUGGUGCCAGGGGUGGGAGUACCUGGAACUGGAAUCCUUCCCGGGGCAGGCAUCCCCCAAGUAGGGGUGCAGCCUGGUGCUAAACCUCCCAAAUUCGGUACG
RNAcentral lists this long non-coding RNA (467 nucleotides) under Cyanistes caeruleus (blue tit). RNAcentral describes it as "lncRNA (ENSCCEG00000001868.1)". Lineage: Eukaryota; Metazoa; Chordata; Aves; Passeriformes; Paridae. The record is from RNAcentral.